GAUGAACGCUAGCUACAGGCUUAACACAUGCAAGUCGAGGGGAAACGACAUCGAAAGCUUGCUUUUGAUGGGCGUCGACCGGCGCACGGGUGAGUAACGCGUAUCCAACCUGCCCAUCACUUGGGAAUAACCUUGCGAAAGUAAGACUAAUACCCAAUGAUAUCCCACGAAGGCAUCGGAAUGGGAUUAAAGAUUUAUCGGUGAUGGAUGGGGAUGCGUCUGAUUAGCUUGUUGGCGGGGUAACGGCCCACCAAGGCAACGAUCAGUAGGGGUUCUGAGAGGAAGGUCCCACACAUUGGAACUGAGACACGGUCCAAACUCCUACGGGAGGCAGCAGUGAGGAAUAUUGGUCAAUGGGCGAGAGCCUGAACCAGCCAAGUAGCGUGCAGGAAGACGGCCCUAUGGGUUGUAAACUGCUUUUAUAAGGGAAUAAAGUGGGUCACGUGUGACUUUUUGCAUGUACCUUAUGAAUAAGGACCGGCUAAUUCCGUG
Molecule: ribosomal RNA, 492 nt
Filed under: uncultured bacterium
Lineage: Bacteria
Description: partial 16S ribosomal RNA
Rfam family: Bacterial small subunit ribosomal RNA
Source: RNAcentral